RNAcentral lists this ribosomal RNA (635 nucleotides) under uncultured Allobrachymonas sp. RNAcentral's name for it is "bacterial SSU rRNA". It matches the Rfam family "Bacterial small subunit ribosomal RNA", at positions 897 to 1533 of the family's 1533-position model. The record is from RNAcentral. Lineage: Bacteria; Pseudomonadati; Pseudomonadota; Betaproteobacteria; Burkholderiales; Comamonadaceae.
AAACUUAAAUGAAUUGACGGGGACCCGCACAAGCGGUGGAUGAUGUGGUUUAAUUCGAUGCAACGCGAAAAACCUUACCCACCUUUGACAUGGCAGGAAUCCUAAAGAGAUUUGGGAGUGCUCGAAAGAGAACCUGCACACAGGUGCUGCAUGGCUGUCGUCAGCUCGUGUCGUGAGAUGUUGGGUUAAGUCCCGCAACGAGCGCAACCCUUGCCAUUAGUUGCUACGAAAGGGCACUCUAAUGGGACUGCCGGUGACAAACCGGAGGAAGGUGGGGAUGACGUCAAGUCCUCAUGGCCCUUAUAGGUGGGGCUACACACGUCAUACAAUGGCCUGGUACAGAGGGUAGCCAACCCGCGAGGGGGAGCCAAUCCCAAAAGCCGGUCGUAGUCCGGAUCGCAGUCUGCAACUCGACUGCGUGAAGUCGGAAUCGCUAGUAAUCGCGGAUCAGCAUGUCGCGGUGAAUACGUUCCCGGGUCUUGUACACACCGCCCGUCACACCAUGGGAGCGGGUUCUGCCAGAAGUAGUUAGCCUAACCGCAAGGAGGGCGAUUACCACGGCAGGGUUCGUGACUGGGGUGAAGUCGUAACAAGGUAGCCGUAUCGGAAGGUGCGGCUGGAUCACCUCCUUUCUG